GGGCGGGUAGCUCAACGGCUAGAGCAUUCGCCUUACACGCGAAGGGUUCGGGGUUCGAAUCCCCGCCCGCCCA
This 73-nucleotide transfer RNA is filed under the name Phycisphaerae bacterium. RNAcentral's name for it is "tRNA-Val". It matches the Rfam family "tRNA". Rfam says of the family: Transfer RNA (tRNA) molecules are approximately 80 nucleotides in length. Their secondary structure includes four short double-helical elements and three loops (D, anti-codon, and T loops). The record is from RNAcentral. RNAcentral also lists the same sequence under 1 other name. Lineage: Bacteria; Pseudomonadati; Planctomycetota; Phycisphaerae.